GGAGUUAGCCGGUGCUUCUUCUGCGAGUAACGUCACAGAUGUAAGGUAUUAACUUACACCCUUUCCUCCUCGCUGAAAGUGCUUUACAAUCCGAAGGCCUUCUUCACACACGCGGCAUGGCUGCAUCAGGGUUUCCCCCAUUGUGCAAUAUUCCCCACUGCUGCCUCCCGUAGGAGUCUGGGCCGUGUCUCAGUCCCAGUGUGGCUGAUCAUCCUCUCAGACCAGCUAGGGAUCGUCGCCUAGGUGAGCCUUUACCUCACCUACUAGCUAAUCCCACCUGGGCUUAUCCAUCAGCGCAAGGCCCGAAGGUCCCCUGCUUUCCCCCGUAGGGCGUAUGCGGUAUUAGCAGUCGUUUCCAACUGUUACUCCCCACAAAUGGGCAAAUUCCCAGGCAUUACUCACCCGUCCGCCGCUCGUCAUCUUACAAAGCAAGCUUUUAGAAUGUUACCGCUCGACUUGCAUGUGUUACGGCCUGCCGCCAGCGUUACAAUCUGAGCCAGGAUACAAACUCUGA
Molecule: ribosomal RNA, 514 nt
Filed under: uncultured bacterium
Lineage: Bacteria
Description: partial 16S ribosomal RNA
Source: RNAcentral